This 253-nucleotide ribosomal RNA is filed under the name uncultured bacterium. Its description in RNAcentral is "partial 16S ribosomal RNA". It matches the Rfam family "Bacterial small subunit ribosomal RNA", at positions 524 to 776 of the family's 1533-position model. The record is from RNAcentral.
UACGUAGGGUGCGAGCGUUGUCCGGAAUUAUUGGGCGUAAAGAGCUCGUAGGCGGUUUGUCGCGUUGUCUGUGAAAACUCACAGCUCAACUGUGGGCGUGCGGGCGAUACGGGCAGACUAGAGUACUGCAGGGGAGACUGGAAUUCCUGGUGUAGCGGUGGAAUGCGCAGAUAUCAGGAGGAACACCGGUGGCGAAGGCGGGUCUCUGGGCAGUAACUGACGCUGAGGAGCGAAAGCGUGGGGAGCGAACAGG